Molecule: non-coding RNA, 211 nt
Organism: Pelobates cultripes (western spadefoot toad)
Lineage: Eukaryota; Metazoa; Chordata; Amphibia; Anura; Pelobatidae
Source: the annotation of a GenBank genome assembly
GAUUCUUCCAUGAUUACACCUAGAUGUUAAUUAACCUUAGGUCUCCUGAUCUCUGAUCUCCUAAUAACAUGUAUGGAAAACGGAUUGGCAGGAGAACUGCUGGAGGGAUGUAAGUUUUUGUUUUAGCUGGGUGUUGUAAAAUGCAACUGAAAGCAUUGAUCCUUAUCACACUGUUAUCAAGUAGAUGAAACCAAGGUGUGAACCCAGUCAC